ACAGAGGGUGCAAACGUUGCUCGGAAUCACUGGGCGUAAAGGGCGUGUAGGCGGGAAGGAAAGUCAGAUGUGAAAUCCCUGGGCUCAACCCAGGAACUGCAUUUGAAACUCCCUUUCUUGAGUACCGGAGAGGAAGGUGGAAUACCUGGUGUAGAGGUGAAAUUCGUAGAUAUCAGGUGGAACACCAGUGGCGAAGGCGGCCUUCUGGACGGUAACUGACGCUGAGACGCGAAAGCGUGGGGAGCAAACAGGA
RNAcentral lists this ribosomal RNA (253 nucleotides) under uncultured prokaryote. RNAcentral describes it as "partial 16S ribosomal RNA". It matches the Rfam family "Bacterial small subunit ribosomal RNA", at positions 525 to 777 of the family's 1533-position model. The record is from RNAcentral.